AGAGUUGAUCCUGGCUCAGGAUGAACGCUGGCGGCGUGCCUAAUACAUGCAAGUCGAUCGCACUACUCGGUAGUGAGAGGCGAACGGGUGAGUAACACGUAGGUAACAUAUCUAUAUGACGAGGAUAACGGUUGGAAAUGACUGCUAAGACUGGAUAGGAGUAGAGGAGGCAUCUCUUUUACUUUAAAGGACUUUUCGGAGUACGCGUAUGGAGUGACCUGCGGCGCAUUAGUUAGUUGGUGGGGUAGUGGCCUACCAAGACGAUGAUGCGUAGCCGGACUGAGAGGUUGAACGGCCACAUUGGGACUGAGACACGGCCCAGACUCCUACGGGAGGCAGCAGUAGGGAAUUUUCGGCAAUGGGGGGAACCCUGACCGAGCAACGCCCGCGUGAAUGACGAAGUACUUCGGUAUGUAAAGUUCUUUUAUUAAGGAAGAAAGUGCAGUGGAAAAACUGUAUAGACGGUACUUAUUGAAUAAGCCCCGGCUAACUAUGUGCCAGCAGCUGC
Molecule: ribosomal RNA, 508 nt
Filed under: uncultured bacterium
Lineage: Bacteria
Description: bacterial SSU rRNA
Rfam family: Bacterial small subunit ribosomal RNA
Source: RNAcentral